GCUGCUGAUAGGUGGCCACGUACUGCUGCA
Molecule: non-coding RNA, 30 nt
Filed under: Homo sapiens (human)
Lineage: Eukaryota; Metazoa; Chordata; Mammalia; Primates; Hominidae
Source: RNAcentral